UUGCUGCUGUAUGUAAUAGUUGAUGCUUUUGCUUGUUUUCAUCAUAUAAUUUAUUUCUUCUCUCAUGUGUCUUUAUUUCUUUCCUUUUUAAUGUGUUCUUAAACUAUCUUGGAAUUGUAUGUCUCUUGGCUCCAUGGGGCUUGCACAAAUGCUAAGGGGGUCAGAGAUAUUGAUUGUCUCUUGUGUGGGAGCUCGUGGGAAAUUCUAAGGAUGCAUUGGGGUCAGAACUUUUAAUUGCCAGUAUUAUUGAAGGAUGAUUACAUACUGCAUGCUUCCAAAACAAAUAAAAAAUGCUAAGUUAUUAAACCUAAAAUGUAUCAGUUCAUUUAAUUUAUUAGUUCCAAGUCAUUCAAAGGCUCAGAAGUUUAGAAGUUCGAAAAAAUUCAACAUAUUGCUAUUUCGUGAUGAUUCUUGUGACACAGGAAGUUAUAAUACUUCUAAAGCUAUCAUCUAACUACUUAAACUACCAGAUCUCAUGGCUUUAAUAAAAAAGUGAUAAUCCUUCCAAUAUGAAAAUUGCUGCUGUCACUUCCCCUUCUAUUAUGAAAAUUUAAUUUAUAAUUGGUUUAAGUUU
Long non-coding RNA from Populus euphratica (Euphrates poplar), 574 nucleotides. RefSeq lists it as uncharacterized. The transcript is spliced from 2 exons. NCBI's taxonomy places the organism in Eukaryota, Viridiplantae, Streptophyta, Magnoliopsida, Malpighiales, Salicaceae. The record is from RefSeq and is a predicted model, not a curated record.